UCAGUAGGGUGCAAUCGUUAAUCGGAAUUACUGGGCGUAAAGCGCACGCAGGCGGUUGGAUAAGUUAGAUGUGAAAGCCCCGGGCUCAACCUGGGAAUUGCAUUUAAAACUGUCCAGCUAGAGUCUUGUAGAGGGGGGUAGAAUUCCAGGUGUAGCGGUGAAAUGCGUAGAGAUCUGGAGGAAUACCGGUGGCGAAGGUGGCCCCCUGGACAAAGACUGACGCUCAGGUGCGAAAGCGUGGGGAGCAAACAGG
Molecule: ribosomal RNA, 253 nt
Filed under: uncultured bacterium
Lineage: Bacteria
Description: partial 16S ribosomal RNA
Rfam family: Bacterial small subunit ribosomal RNA
Source: RNAcentral